GACUUUUAGCGGUGGAUCACUCAGCUUCUGCAUUGAUGAAGAAUGCAGCUAGCUGUGAGAAUUAAUGUGAAUUGCAGGGCACAUUGAUCAUUGACACUUUGAAUGGACUUGUGGCCCGGGUUCCUCCCAGGGUUAUGCCUGUCUGAGUGUCA
Homo sapiens (human) is the source of this 152-nucleotide ribosomal RNA. It matches the Rfam family "5.8S ribosomal RNA". From Rfam's summary of the family: 5.8S ribosomal RNA (5.8S rRNA) is a component of the large subunit of the eukaryotic ribosome. It is transcribed by RNA polymerase I as part of the 45S precursor that also contains 18S and 28S rRNA. Functionally, it is thought that 5.8S rRNA may be involved in ribosome translocation. The record is from Ensembl. NCBI's taxonomy places the organism in Eukaryota, Metazoa, Chordata, Mammalia, Primates, Hominidae.